CACCAGUAGCUUAAUAUAAAGCUCUCCACUGAAAAUGGAGGAGAUGAUUAAUUAGUCCUGUGU
This 63-nucleotide transfer RNA is filed under the name Bathymodiolus thermophilus. RNAcentral's name for it is "tRNA-Phe". Lineage: Eukaryota; Metazoa; Mollusca; Bivalvia; Mytilida; Modiolidae. The record is from RNAcentral.